AUGUCACAGGUAAUUAUUCUAAGGAGUAACAGUCAUAUCAUUUUAAGUACCCUUGUAUGCAAUUAUCUCUAUGGAGGAAUAAAAAGAACAGGUACUUCUGGAACAGAGGCUACAUCUUCUUCCAAGUUUUUAAUGGGUUCAGAACAUUUUGGCCAUGUCUACAUGAUAAAAAUAAAAUGUUUUCCCCACUCAAAGCAAUUGCAGAUUUGUGAAUGUGGGGUGUGUGUGUGUGUGUGUGUGAGAGAGAGAGAGCGAGAGAUAGAGAGAGAGAAAGAGAGAGAGAGAGAGAGAGAGAGAGAGAGAAAUGCAAAAAUGGCUAACCUCCCCCUGACCUACCUUCUCAUUUCUGAGACUGAAACUGAAAAUCCCUUGCUUGGGACACUAGGGAUCUGUUCUGUCUGGGCAUGCAGCCAUAUUGGGGCAUGCCCAAGGGGACUGUGCCUGAGCUCCUAAAGUAUGCUGCCCCAGGACACCAGUGCCCCCAUCCCUUCUUGUGAUCCAAGUUAACUACAAUCUGAGAACUUCUCCUGAACAUUCAUCUGAUGAUAAUCUCUCAUUGUAAUGAUUGCUGAGAAAGUAACCAAGGUGUGGCUUUAGAACAAUCUGUUCUUUCAAAAUUGUAAAACUACUCUAAGGAAACCUUAAUUUUGGUCCCUAGAAUUAAAACAAAACAAAAAUAAAAACAAAAAACCAAAAACACUUGCAGUUUCAGAAAGCCCUUUGUUCUAAACACAGUCUCUAACUCUU
RNAcentral lists this long non-coding RNA (747 nucleotides) under Callithrix jacchus (white-tufted-ear marmoset). Its description in RNAcentral is "lncRNA (ENSCJAG00000070579.1)". The record is from RNAcentral. Lineage: Eukaryota; Metazoa; Chordata; Mammalia; Primates; Cebidae.